CCUCCAUUCUUGGCAUGCACGCUUUCUCCCUGUACCCGUGUAUGUAUGUUAUGGAGGGAUAACAAGGCCAGUGCUAUGUCUUCGGUGCCAGAAUGUUCCCUGUCUUCUGGUUCUAUCCUCAAUCGCUGGUACAUUA
RNAcentral lists this small nucleolar RNA (136 nucleotides) under Hucho hucho (huchen). RNAcentral describes it as "Small nucleolar RNA SNORA57 (ENSHHUG00000026275.1)". It matches the Rfam family "Small nucleolar RNA SNORA57". Rfam says of the family: U99 belongs to the H/ACA class of snoRNAs which are thought to guide the sites of modification of uridines to pseudouridines, the target for this family is unknown. Lineage: Eukaryota; Metazoa; Chordata; Actinopteri; Salmoniformes; Salmonidae. The record is from Rfam by way of RNAcentral.